UAACACAGCAGAAACUCAUGUCUUGAGGCUCUCUCCUGUCUUUCUCAAUCCCACGUGCACUGUGUGAUUCCACGGCAGAACCUGAGCUUGCACAAGCACUUCACAUGUACUCUCACCUCCCGAUGCCAGGCAACUGAGUAACAGAAAAGCUGUCACAGGUCAUUUUGCUACAGCCCCAGUGUUUGAAGGGCAUUUAGGUUAUAGUAAAACCAGAUUUCAGCCCCAGUCAGCCUUUUUUUUCAGGAUGCGGUGAACAGCUGGCUGGUGGAUGUUGCCUGAACAAAGGUCUCCUUCUACUCCGAGUGGCCUCGAGGGACAGCUGCUGCUGCUGUGUCUGGCUGGUCUGACAGCAGGAUCCAAAAGAGGGAUUUAUCCUGUACAGCUGUGGAGGUCAGACAAUCCAGGGCUCUAUUUUAUCCAUAAUAAAAUGUGGGAGUACAUUUUUCUUCUACAACCUACCCAGAUCAGGGAGAGAAGCAGAGCAAGCUAAACCAGUUUCUCCCUCACUAUCCUUUUGCAUAUUUCUACCUUGGGUUCAAGAAUCUAAAGCAGGGUAAACACAGCUCUGAGGGUUUCUUUUUGCCACGGUCUGACCAUGUUAAUUUCAACAGAGGAACUUUGGUUUCAGUGUAUGUUAAAUGAAAAUAUUAUCAUUUUCAAGCUAAAACAUAAUAUAUUGAAUUAUCCUUGAGAGAGAUAGAGCACUUUAUUCAACUGAUCAAGCUUUGCUCAGUUAGCCUUUACUGAACUUGCUUUUCUCUUCUUUGCUCAAAUUAACACAGUAACUGAAGUCAGUGGUAACCAAGGUUCUAAAAGCAGAUAAAGGCAAAAACCUGCCUCUCCAAAGUCUUUAGUCUCACUAAGCAAAAAAGCUCACAGAAGGAGAUUGAGAUCAAAAUCAGUGCUACCUAGCCCAAGAAAAACUAAUUUGCAGGAGUUCAUUUUGGAUUCUUCUAUAUACAUAAAGAGAGAAUCAUUAAGUUUGUACAUGUAGAAUUUUAUCUUUUCUUAUUCUCUCCAUUAUGUGGACAAACUGUUGAAUUCACUGCUUUGAUAAAAAUCUUUCUAGAAGAUUUUAAUUAUUCCCAAAAUACCGCUUUUUCCCCCUGUCCUUUUUUUUUUUUUUUAAAGUUAGGGGUUUAUUAAAGAGAUCAUAGAUUUUUCUAAUGUUAGCUGUGAAAUCCAUAUGGGAAAAAAAAUCAAAUCAUUCUUAGCAUUUAUUAUGCUAAUUUUAACUGGGACUCAAAAGGUAAAGGAACUUAAUGUCAUUACCUAUGCAAGAUCUGAGAAUGUGCAUCUCCAGAAAUAAUGACCUUAUUACAGUGUUGAUCUUGUGUGGGUGGAAGUCUGGUGUAGAGGGAGCCUGGGGGAAAUGCUCAUGCAUUUCACCUGCCUAUUGUACAUUAUAUGUGAGCUCAGAGGUACAAUAAGAUACACAUUUGUAAGUGUCCUACAUGUAAGAAAUAGGCAAUUUAAUGCAUUAAUCAGUGGAGUGCAAUUACAGGCCUUAAUUUAGAAGGUAUUAGUCACUUGCCAUAGAUAACCUUCUGUGGCUAUUAGAAUUUCAUAGGCUGAGUACAUUACAACUGGCAAAUGUCAUUUGCACAGCCAGCACACACACAAGGGGCUGGUUUUGGCUGGAAGCACAUUUUUUUUCUGUAUUAAAUCCACUCCACUAAAUUCAAGAGAGAGCA
Long non-coding RNA from Taeniopygia guttata (zebra finch), 1694 nucleotides. NCBI's taxonomy places the organism in Eukaryota, Metazoa, Chordata, Aves, Passeriformes, Estrildidae. The record is from Ensembl.